CAGCUAACGCAUUAAGCACUCCGCCUGGGGAGUACGGUCGCAAGACUGAAACUCAAAGGAAUUGACGGGGGCCACAAGCGGUGGAGCAUGUGGUUUAAUUCGAAGCAACGCGAAGAACCUUACCAGGUCUUGACAUCCUCUGACAAUCCUAGAGAUAGGACGUCCCCUUCGGGGGCAGAGUGACAGGUGGUGCAUGGUUGUCGUCAGCUCGUGUCGUGAGAUGUUGGGUUAAGUCCCGCAACGAGCGCAACCCUUGAUCUUAGUUGCCAGCAUUCAGUUGGGCACUCUAAGGUGACUGCCGGUGCAAACCGGAGGAAGGUGGGGAUGACGUCAAAUCAUCAUGCCCCUUAUGACCUGGGCUACACACGUGCUACAAUGGACAGAACAAAGGGCAGCGAAACCGCGAGGUUAAGCCAAUCCCACAAAUUGUUCUCAGUUCGGAUCGCAGUCUGCAACUCGACUGCGUGAAGCUGGAUCGCUAGAAUCGGAUAG
This 492-nucleotide ribosomal RNA is filed under the name Bacillus sp. (in: firmicutes). RNAcentral describes it as "bacterial SSU rRNA". It matches the Rfam family "Bacterial small subunit ribosomal RNA", at positions 848 to 1348 of the family's 1533-position model. Lineage: Bacteria; Bacillati; Bacillota; Bacilli; Caryophanales; Bacillaceae. The record is from RNAcentral.